Non-coding RNA from Salvelinus sp. IW2-2015, 865 nucleotides. NCBI's taxonomy places the organism in Eukaryota, Metazoa, Chordata, Actinopteri, Salmoniformes, Salmonidae. The record is from RefSeq and is a predicted model, not a curated record.
GCAGACAAUAUUACAAUACUUUUAUUCUCUCUCACACACAUUCACAGAUAAAGUUUAGGCAUCGAAUAGUUGGUUCCUGGGCUGUAAACCUCCCAACUUCCUGAUCCAUGCUCCAAAGGACAGAUCUAGGAUCAGCUCACCCUCGUCAAAUCCAAACCAGAACCUUAAUAAUCCACAAAGGGGAAAACUGACCUUAGACCCGCAUUUAAACCCCACGUCUUCCUGCCCAGACACUGCUCUCCAUCCAGAGUUCCUCUGUGCUCCAACUGUCCAUCCUUCUAUCCAUCCAUUCAUCCUUCCACACCCCAGCCAACCAGCCAUUGGUCUGAUGAGUGAAGACAUGAAUUGCUGCGUCUGCUUCGAACCCUACUCUCGCAGGGAGAAAAUCCCUCGGGUGCUCCACUGCGAACACACUUUCUGUGGGCCGUGCUUGGAGGCGAUCUCCAGGCUCCAGAGUGGCCUACUGACCGUGUGCUGCCCUCUGUGCCGCUGGAUCACCUGUUGCCUGGUCAGCUUACCCUUUGCUGGUUCUCUGUUUGUCAACACUGAUAUCUGGGACCAGAUAGCAGACAGACAGGAGGAAGAGGAAGAGAAGGAGGCGUGGAUAGAAGAUACCAGACAGACACAGACCUCCACACAGUACAAAUGCUCUUCAUUGGGGCAUUCUGGUGUGAGGAUCAAGCUACAGAGUUUCUGGAGGAGAAUGAAGCACAAUGGUCAGAGAGGACUAAAAGAAGGGAAGACAUUAAGGUCUUGGUUGUGUAUUGAUAGGUGAUGUCAAUGCCAUGCAAUACUCCUUCCGUGGCCUCGAACUGCUCUUAAACGCUAGUAAAAACUAAAUGCAUGCUUUUCAACCGUUCACUGC